UGCGGGAAGUGGGGGGAAGGGACAGAGUCGCGCGACUCUGUCCCUUCCCCCCACUUCCCGCA
This 62-nucleotide microRNA precursor is filed under the name Podarcis lilfordi (Lilford's wall lizard). The record is from RNAcentral. Lineage: Eukaryota; Metazoa; Chordata; Lepidosauria; Squamata; Lacertidae.